This 869-nucleotide ribosomal RNA is filed under the name uncultured rumen protozoa. Its description in RNAcentral is "bacterial SSU rRNA". It matches the Rfam family "Eukaryotic small subunit ribosomal RNA", at positions 636 to 1831 of the family's 1831-position model. The record is from RNAcentral.
AUAUUCACACAGCCUCCCAGAUACAUAGCAUGAAUACGAUUAUUGAUUGGUUAUCAUCGAUAUAGACAGUGGGCAUAGAUUAUGUCAAGUAUCUGAUUGUUAAGCUACGUUGCGAAGCAUGCAGAUGUUUCAUAUCAGACGAAGAUAGGGAUCAAGCAUCAGAUCGUCGUAGUCCUAUCUAUAACUAGCCGACUAGGGAUGGAAUGGAAAUCCCAUUCGGUACCUAUGAGAAAUCAAAGUCUUUGGUCUGGGGGGAGUAUGGUCGCAAGACUGAAACUAAAGAAAUUGACGGAAGGGCACCACCAGGAGUGGAGCUGCGGCUUAAUUUGACUCAACACGGGGAAACUUACCAGAACAAGAAAUAGUAAGGAUUGACAGAUUGAUAGCUCUUCUGAUUCUAUGUUUGUUGUUGCUUGCCCGUUCUAGUGGUGGAGUGAUUGUCUGGUUAAUUCCGAUAACGAACGAGACCUUAACUGCUAACUAGUCUAUUACAUUUCAUGUAAUUGACUUCUUAGAGGGACUAUGUAUAUCAAGUACAAGAAAAGUAUGAGACAAUAACAGGUCUGUGAUGCCCUUAUAUGUCCUGGGCUGCACGCGUGCUACACUGAUGCAUACAACAAGUGCCUAGCUAGACAUAGUAUGGCAAUCUCGAAUAUAUAUCGUGAUGGGGAUAGAUCUUUGCAAUUAUAGAUCUUGAACGAGGAAUUCCUAGUAAGUGCAAGUCAUCAUCUGCAUUGAUUAUGUCCCUGCCCUUUAUACACACCGCCCGUCGCUCCUACCGAUACCGGAUGAUCCGGUGAACCUGUGGACCCAUGGGAAAAAUAAGUAAACUCUAUAUCCCUUAGAAGGAGAAGUCGACAGAAUCGGAU